This 66-nucleotide transfer RNA is filed under the name Bulinus ugandae. RNAcentral describes it as "tRNA-Ala". Lineage: Eukaryota; Metazoa; Mollusca; Gastropoda; Planorbidae. The record is from RNAcentral.
GGUAAUAUAUUUUAUUAUAGAAAAUUUAGUUUGCAACUAAAAAGAAGAAUUUUUUUCUUUUUACCU